CUACGGCCAUAUCAAGUUGAAACACCGAUUUUCAUACGAUCACCAAAGUUAAGCAAACGUCGAGGCUGGUCAGUAACGAGACGGGUGACCUCUUGGGAAUACCAGGUGAUGUAAG
RNAcentral lists this ribosomal RNA (115 nucleotides) under Acanthosepion pharaonis. Lineage: Eukaryota; Metazoa; Mollusca; Cephalopoda; Sepiida; Sepiidae. The record is from RNAcentral.